Molecule: long non-coding RNA, 449 nt
Organism: Vigna angularis (adzuki bean)
Lineage: Eukaryota; Viridiplantae; Streptophyta; Magnoliopsida; Fabales; Fabaceae
Exons: 2
Source: RefSeq, a predicted model, not a curated record
GUUUGAAGAAGGAUUGGAAGAGUUGCUGCAAAUUUUGGAGAGAAGAAACAGAGAGCUUGCUGUACGUACGGGAGAAGGAGAAGAAGAAGCUUGCUGCAUCCAGUGGUGAGGCAGAGAACGUUUGGAAUUUCUGCAUUCAAGUUUGGCUAGGAGGUCUUCAAGAGAUGGUGAUGAGGAUACUUUGGAAGCAGCUCUUGAUGGGGACAGCAGUGCUGCCGCUUAGUUUAGCUAGUUUCUCUUCGUGGUUCCUAAUGUUUGGAAUAAACUCGUGUGUAUUCUAAGUUUAAAUUCUCUCUGUUUUUCAUGGAGACAUUCCAUUUACUCUUGUUGUAAUUUCCGCACUAUUCUGAGGAUGACUGUAAUCCUUAAAAUUACUCUUGACUGCUUUCUCAUAUUAUGUAUGAUGACGUCUUAUUUAUAUAUGCAUGAUGUAUAUUUUUGGGACGUUA